RNAcentral lists this long non-coding RNA (420 nucleotides) under Chinchilla lanigera (long-tailed chinchilla). RNAcentral describes it as "lncRNA (ENSCLAG00000028152.1)". The record is from RNAcentral. Lineage: Eukaryota; Metazoa; Chordata; Mammalia; Rodentia; Chinchillidae.
UCAAUCUGAAGUGCACAUUUAGCCCACCCCAAGAAUAACAUUAAAUUUCUCCCUCAUAGAUGCAUCUCUCUAACUGAAAUGCCACAAAAAAGUAAAACAAGCACAAAGAGGCCUUGCUAUGAAACAAAAAUAUUUGCAAUGCCAUUGGAAACUUUAUGGAUCACUUAAGGUGAUAAUCUACAUUUCAUCAAAUGUAACAAGAUUGGAACAUCUACUGAUGUUUGAGAAGCAAACGCUGUGCUGUAGAAUGCACUUUUCUGAAUUGCAUACGCAGGACUCGAGACAAGUUAGAACAAAAUACCUUUCUGCAAUGAAUAGCUGUUGCAUGAGUGAAAUUAAAUGGGAACCUAAAGUAAUUAUCUUUGCCAGACAGGUUUGUGCCAUCCAUUAAUUUUGGAUUAAGAUUUUAAGAAUGUCAUA